UGCCCUAGAUAAUUCUGGUAACUGCUACCAACCAUCUUCUCAUCACGCUCAAGCUUGAUCAUUCUACAAUUACUGAACUGAUAUUCAUAUCUCAUUGAUCUUAACUUAUCUUAAUAGCAUGUGUUGGCUGUCUUUCCCUAUUCAUCCUACAAUAUAGUCUUCUAUUUUUAAAAAUCUAAGAUUGGUAUAGUCAUCUUGGUCUUCUAUUAGACAAUGAGUCAAGACUUAAAUCAUCCAAUGUAGUCUUCCACUUCAUGGCCGAACCUGAUCUAUUAAGCCUAG
Molecule: long non-coding RNA, 282 nt
Filed under: Elaeis guineensis (African oil palm)
Lineage: Eukaryota; Viridiplantae; Streptophyta; Magnoliopsida; Arecales; Arecaceae
Description: long non-coding RNA (EGUI_LNC058362)
Source: RNAcentral